Molecule: ribosomal RNA, 336 nt
Filed under: uncultured bacterium
Lineage: Bacteria
Description: partial 16S ribosomal RNA
Rfam family: Bacterial small subunit ribosomal RNA
Source: RNAcentral
CCUACGGGUGGCAGCAGUAGGGAAUCUUCCACAAUGGGCGAAAGCCUGACGGAGCAACGCCGCGUGGGUGAUGAAGGUCUUCGGAUCGUAAAACCCUGUUUUUAGGGAAGAAAAUACGUGGAAGUAACUAUCCACGUCUCGACGGUAUCUAAUCAGAAAGCCACGGCUAAUUACGUGCCAGCAGCCGCGGUAAUACGUAGGUGGCAAGCGUUAUCCGGUUUUAUUGGGCGUAAAGGGGGCGUAGGCGGUCUUUUAAGUCUGAUGUGAAAGGCCACGGCUUAACCGGUGAAGGGCAUUGGAAACUGGGGGACUUGAGUGCAGAAGAGGAAAGUGGAA